Molecule: ribosomal RNA, 1363 nt
Filed under: Nocardia cyriacigeorgica
Lineage: Bacteria; Bacillati; Actinomycetota; Actinomycetes; Mycobacteriales; Nocardiaceae
Description: 16S ribosomal RNA
Rfam family: Bacterial small subunit ribosomal RNA
Source: RNAcentral
AACGGGUGAGUAACACGUGGGUGAUCUGCCUCGCACUCUGUGGAUAAGCCUGGGAAACUGGGUCUAAUACCAGGAUAUGACCUUACAUCGCAUGGUGUUUGGUGGAAAGAUUUAUCGGUGCGAGAUGGGCCCGCGGCCUAUCAGCUUGUUGGUGGGGUAAUGGCCUACCAAGGCGACGACGGGUAGCCGGCCUGAGAGGGCGACCGGCCACACUGGGACUGAGACACGGCCCAGACUCCUACGGGAGGCAGCAGUGGGGAAUAUUGCACAAUGGGCGAAAGCCUGAUGCAGCGACGCCGCGUGAGGGAUGACGGCCUUCGGGUUGUAAACCUCUUUCGACAGGGACGAAGCGCAAGUGACGGUACCUGUAGAAGAAGCACCGGCCAACUACGUGCCAGCAGCCGCGGUAAUACGUAGGGUGCGAGCGUUGUCCGGAAUUACUGGGCGUAAAGAGCUUGUAGGCGGCUUGUCGCGUCGAUCGUGAAAACUUGGGGCUCAACCCCAAGCUUGCGGUCGAUACGGGCAGGCUUGAGUACUUCAGGGGAGACUGGAAUUCCUGGUGUAGCGGUGAAAUGCGCAGAUAUCAGGAGGAACACCGGUGGCGAAGGCGGGUCUCUGGGAAGUAACUGACGCUGAGAAGCGAAAGCGUGGGUAGCGAACAGGAUUAGAUACCCUGGUAGUCCACGCCGUAAACGGUGGGUACUAGGUGUGGGUUUCCUUCCACGGGAUCCGUGCCGUAGCUAACGCAUUAAGUACCCCGCCUGGGGAGUACGGCCGCAAGGCUAAAACUCAAAGGAAUUGACGGGGGCCCGCACAAGCGGCGGAGCAUGUGGAUUAAUUCGAUGCAACGCGAAGAACCUUACCUGGGUUUGACAUACACCGGAAACCUGCAGAGAUGUAGGCCCCCUUGUGGUCGGUGUACAGGUGGUGCAUGGCUGUCGUCAGCUCGUGUCGUGAGAUGUUGGGUUAAGUCCCGCAACGAGCGCAACCCUUAUCUUAUGUUGCCAGCGCGUAAUGGCGGGGGAACUCGUGAGAGACUGCCGGGGGUCACCUCGGAUAAAGGUGGGGACGACGUCAAGUCAUCAUGCCCCUUAUGUCCAGGGCUUCACACAUGCUACAAUGGCCGGUACAGAGGGCUGCGAUACCGUGAGGUGGAGCGAAUCCCUUAAAGCCGGUCUCAGUUCGGAUCGGGGUCUGCAACUCGACCCCGUGAAGUUGGAGUCGCUAGUAAUCGCAGAUCAGCAACGCUGCGGUGAAUACGUUCCCGGGCCUUGUACACACCGCCCGUCACGUCAUGAAAGUACGGUAACACCCGAAGCCGGUGGCCUAACCCCUUGUGGGAGGGCACGCCGUCGAAGGUGGG